Molecule: long non-coding RNA, 436 nt
Organism: Drosophila subpulchrella
Lineage: Eukaryota; Metazoa; Arthropoda; Insecta; Diptera; Drosophilidae
Exons: 3
Source: RefSeq, a predicted model, not a curated record
GUCAUUGUUUCUGGCGAUUUGAAUUAUGGCCCAGACGGCAAUGCGGCAUUCAGGAUGGGUAGAACAUCCUUUUGGAGGACAUGUCUGACGACAGUUGGCGUCAUGUAACAAAACAAGUAAUAUAUACAAAAUGGAUGUGUGCGUUUUAGAGGCCAUGAAAAAUUGUGAGACACGUGCGUGGAGCCAAUGACAGAACGAAAUGUUUGGAAUAGGUUUUCAUACCGGAGUGGGAGGUUUCAAUCAUAGUCUGCUGACAGAAGUGCUUCUUUUGGAACACAUAAGGAAGCGAUUAUGGUUUUCAAUUCGAUAAGGAUGAAAAAGCCAUAUUUUUUAUAAAAUUUCAACAUUCUGCCAGAUGGGCUGCGCCCAGAAGAACAUGCCCAAGAUGGGGCAGAACAACAACGGCAGUUGGUCAAAAACAACUUUCACUUUGGGC